This 328-nucleotide ribosomal RNA is filed under the name uncultured eukaryote. RNAcentral's name for it is "partial 18S ribosomal RNA". It matches the Rfam family "Eukaryotic small subunit ribosomal RNA", at positions 1470 to 1796 of the family's 1831-position model. The record is from RNAcentral.
CCCUUAGAUGUCCGGGGCUGCACGCGCGCUACACUGAAGGAAUCAGCGUGCUAAAACCAUUGUCGAAAGGCAUUGGUAAACCCAUUAAAAUCCUACGUGAUUGGGAUCGGGAAUUGCAAUUAUUUCCCUUGAACGCGGAAUUCCCAGUAAGUGUGGGUCAUAAGCUCGCGUUGAUUACGUCCCUGCCCUUUGUACACACCGCCCGUCGCUGCCCGGGACUGAGCCGUUUCGAGAAAAGCGGGGACUGCUGCUGUCGGGGCUUUCGGGCCUUGGCUUCGGUGGAAACCGCUUUAAUCGCAGUGGCUUGAACCGGGCAAAAGUCGUAACA